GACGAACGCUGGCGGCGUGCUUAACACAUGCAAGUCGAACGGAAAGGCCCUGCUUUUGCGGGUUGCUCGAGUGGCGAACGGGUGAGUAACACGUGAGUAACCUGCCCUUGACUUUGGGAUAACUUCAGGAAACUGGGGCUAAUACCGGAUAGGAGCUCCUGCUGCAUGGUGGGGGUUGGAAAGUUUCGGCGGUUGGGGCUGGACUCGCGGCUUAUUAGCUUGUUGGUGGGGUAGUGGCUUACCAAGGCUUUGAUGGGUAGCCCGCAUGAGCGAGCGAUCGGCCACCCUGGAACGGGGGCACGGUCCAGAGGACUACGGGAGGCAGCAGUCGGGAACGUGACGCAAUGGGCGGAAGCAUGACGCAGCAACGGCGCGUGAGUGAUGAAGGUAUUCGGAUCGUAAAACUCUGUUAGUAGGGAAGAACAUAUGUGGAAGUAAAUGGGCAGAGCUUGACGGUACAUAAUCAGAAAGCAACGGCUAACUACGUG
Molecule: ribosomal RNA, 488 nt
Filed under: uncultured bacterium
Lineage: Bacteria
Description: partial 16S ribosomal RNA
Rfam family: Bacterial small subunit ribosomal RNA
Source: RNAcentral